Molecule: ribosomal RNA, 301 nt
Filed under: uncultured bacterium
Lineage: Bacteria
Description: partial 16S ribosomal RNA
Rfam family: Bacterial small subunit ribosomal RNA
Source: RNAcentral
CAGUAGCCGCGGUAAUACAGAGGGUGCGAGCGUUAAUCGGAUUUACUGGGCGUAAAGCGUGCGUAGGCGGCUUUUUAAGUCGGAUGUGAAAUCCCUGAGCUUAACUUAGGAAUUGCAUUCGAUACUGGGAAGCUAGAGUAUGGGAGGGGAUGGUAGAAUUCCAGGUGUAGCGGUGAAAUGCGUAGAGAUCUGGAGGAAUACCGAUGGCGAAGGCAGCCAUCUGGCCUAAUACUGACGCUGAGGUACGAAAGCAUGGGGAGCAAACAGGAUUAGAGACCCCGGUAGUCCCUGUCUCUUAUAA